This 1716-nucleotide long non-coding RNA is filed under the name Junco hyemalis (dark-eyed junco). Its description in RNAcentral is "lncRNA (ENSJHYG00000011143.1)". The record is from RNAcentral. Lineage: Eukaryota; Metazoa; Chordata; Aves; Passeriformes; Passerellidae.
AUGGUCACUUUUGGACUGGUCAGUUUGGAAUGGUCACUUUUGGACUGGUCAGUUUUGGUUUGGUCGGUUUGGAAUGGUCACUUUCAGAAUGGUCACUUAGGGAAUGGUCAGUUUGGUGGGGAAUGGUCACUUUUGGACUGGUCAGUUUUGGUUUGGUUGGUUUGGAAUGGUCACUUUCAGAAUGGUCACUUUUGGUUUGGUCACUUUGGCAGUGGUCACUUUCCAAGUGGUCAGUUUGCUGAGGAAUGGUCACUUUUGGACUGGUCAGCUUUGGUUUGGUCAGUUUGGAAUGGUCACUUUGGGAGCAGUGGUCACUUUCCGAAUGGCCACUUUCUGAGUGGUCAGUUUGGGGGGGGAAAUGGUCACUUUGGCAGGGGUCACUUUGGUCACUUUGAGAGGGGAUUGGUCACAUUGGAGUGGUCACUUUGGGAGGAGCGGUCACUGUGGGAGCGGUCAGUUUGGUGGGGGAGGGGAGGAUUUCAGGAUGAGGAUGAAGAAGAUGAGGAUGAGGAUGAAGAUGAAGACAAAACCAAGGGAGAUCAGGAAGAUAACGAGGAAGAAGAAGAAGAUAAGGAUGAAGAUGAAGAUGAAGAUGAAGAUGAAGAUGAAGAUGAAGACAAAACCAAUAGAGAUAAGGAAGAAGAAGAUAAGGAUGAAGAUGAGGAUGAUGAUGAGGAUGAAGAUGAAGAUGGACACAAAGCCAAGGGAGAUAAGGAAGGUGAAGAUGAAGAUGAUGAAGAUGAAGCCAAGGAGAUGAAGGUGAGGAUGAUGAGGAUGACGAUGAGGAUGAAGACCAUGGACAUGAAGACAAAGAUGAAGAAGAUGAAGAAGACAGAGCCGAGGAAGAUGAGGAAGAUGAAGAUGAAGAUGAAGGUGAAGCUGAGGAUGAUGAGGAUGAUGGAGAUGAAGAUGAAGGUGACGAUGAUGAUGAAGAUGAGGAUGAAGGCUCACCAGUAGAAUGCGCACACCAGCUCCUGCCAGCUGAGGGCGCCACACCAUGGACAUGAGGACAAAGAUGAACAUGAAGACAAAGCCAAGGAAGAUGAGGAAGAUGAAGAUGAAGAUGAAGGUGAGGAUGAUGAGGAUGAUGGAGAUGAAGAUGAUGAAGAUGAGGAUGAGGAUGAAGACGAAGGCUCACCAAUAGAAGGUGCACACCAGCUCCUGCCAGCUGAGGGCGCUCCGGUCCUGCCGCUGCCACCGCAGCCCCUCCUGCGCCACGCGCGACUGAGACCCCUCCCCCAGCACGCCCAGGCCCCGCCCCCUGCCCCACGUCACCCCGAAGCUCCACCCCCUGGUCACCGAUGACGUCACCGCCGUGCCCACGGCCGACGCCCCCGCGGCCACUCGGGAUUGGCGGCGGCAGCGGCGGCCGGAGCGCCAGCCGCCAAUGGCGGAGGGGACGCGGCGGGGGGACAGCGCGUGCAGGGCGUCGGGACACAGGAGACACCGGGGGACACCCUUGGGGACACCAAUGGGACCACCGGGACCGACACCGUCACCUCUGGGGCCACCAUUGUCACCAGGGCCGCCAUGGGCACCGCUGGCACCUCCGGGGCCGCCAUGUUUCCCAAGGCCCAAGGUGUCCUCGUGGGUUUCCCGGGUUCCACCAUUGUCACCGUGUCCAUCCCAGGUGUCCCCGUUGGUGUCCCCAUGUCUGUCCCAUCCAUCCCAUGCAUCCCCGAUGUCCCCAAGGGUGUCCCCAAGGGUGUCCCCAAG